AGUGAACGCUGGCGGUAGGCCUAACACAUGCAAGUCGAACGGCAGCACAGUAAGAGCUUGCUCUUACGGGUGGCGAGUGGCGGACGGGUGAGGAAUACAUCGGAAUCUACUUUUUCGUGGGGGAUAACGUAGGGAAACUUACGCUAAUACCGCAUACGACCUACGGGUGAAAGCAGGGGAUCUUCGGACCUUGCGCGAUUGAAUGAGCCGAUGUCGGAUUAGCUAGUUGGCGGGGUAAAGGCCCACCAAGGCGACGAUCCGUAGCUGGUCUGAGAGGAUGAUCAGCCACACUGGAACUGAGACACGGUCCAGACUCCUACGGGACGCAGCAGUCGGGAAUAUUGGACAAUGGGCGCAAGCCUGAUCCAGCCAUACCGCGUGGGUGAAGAAGGCCUUCCGGUUGUAAAACCCUUUUGUUGGGAAAGAAAAGCAGCAGGUUAAUACCCCGCUGUUCUGACGGUACCCAAAGAAUAAGCACCGGCUAACUUCGUG
RNAcentral lists this ribosomal RNA (492 nucleotides) under uncultured bacterium. Its description in RNAcentral is "partial 16S ribosomal RNA". It matches the Rfam family "Bacterial small subunit ribosomal RNA", at positions 29 to 507 of the family's 1533-position model. The record is from RNAcentral.